Molecule: long non-coding RNA, 6372 nt
Organism: Micropterus salmoides (largemouth bass)
Lineage: Eukaryota; Metazoa; Chordata; Actinopteri; Centrarchiformes; Centrarchidae
Exons: 2
Source: RefSeq, a predicted model, not a curated record
UUAAACACAACCACUCAAAAUUGAUUUCACUUGUUUCAAAUCAUGUGACACAACCAAUAUAAGCCAGUUCAGAGAGCAAACAGGUUGUUGAAGGUAGGACAGAGAAAGUCUAAGAAUGGCUUGGAGAAACAAUGUGAGGGGACGGGGACGAGUGGCCCUGAACAUUGUGCUUUCCAUUUGUUUACAGUACUGUUACAAGAAUUACAGUAUCACAGAAACAAAGGACAAGUUUGUGAGAUGCAGGGUACAGUACUGUAAAAAUAGGGGUACAAAAGAAAUUGCAAAGAACAAAGCAGAGUAUAAUUUCUGAUAAAUUUUGAGCUACUAUGAAAGAACAUGUUUUCAUUUGACAAUGAGGGAAAAAUGAAUUUGUCUUCCUGAGAACUAUGUUUUGAACGUGUUUUCUAUUUUUUUGGUGUAUUGUUUACUGACUGCUUGAUAGUGUGUCAUUUUGAUUGCUUUAUGAUUUGAGAGCAGUGUUUGGUUUUGAGCACAGGUAAAACUGUUUUGAGGCGAAAGUUUCCUUUUGCACGAGGAGACAGAGGUUGUUAGAGGUUAUUUUGUAAAUAGUGCUAGAAGCUGAGGUUUUGUGUUUAAUGUUUUCAGAAAAUGGAGCAAGGUUUCAGAAAUUGUGUUUUAGCAAUUGAGAAAAAACUAAGUCUGUCACACUGCAACUGCCACUCACAGGUGAUGUCCUGUGAGAUUUGAAGUCCUCAGCCCUCUCUGGGCCAAGGUCAGUCCUCUUCCUGUGGAAGUCUACCACCACCUCUUUGGUCUUAGAGGUGUUGAGAGACAGGUUGUUGGUGGAGCACCAAGUGGAGAGUUUUUGGAUUUCAUCCCUGUAGGCGGACUCUUUGUUGUUGUGAAUAAGUCCAACCACAGUGGUGUCGUCUGCAAACUUAAUAAAAGUAUUGCUUUCAUAAGCUGGGGUGCAGUCGUAAGUGUAUAAAAUGUAGAGUAAGGGACUCAACACACAACCCUGUGGGACCCCAGUGCUGAGUGUGAGAACAGAGGAAAGUUGGGAGCCCAGACGAACUGACUGGGGACAAUCUGUGAGGAAGUCAAAGAUCCACCUGCAGAUGUUUGUGUUGAUGCCCAGUCCGUGUACCUUGGACACCAGUCUUCCAGGGAUGAUGCACAAACAACAGUCUUGUAUAGGUGCCAGGAUGUUCAAGGUGGGUCAGCACACAGUGCAGGGCUGUGUUGAUAGCAUCCGCGGUUUACCUGUUUGCUUUAUAGGCAAACUGGUGCUGGUGCAGUGUGGAGGGGAGGGCAGCUUUUAUGUGAUUUAACAGCAGUGUUUCAAAGCACUUCAAGACAGUGGAAGUGAGGGCCACUGGUCUAUAGUCAUUAAAGCUACUCACAGCAGAUUUUUUCAGAAUCGGCACAAUAAUGGCAGAUUUGAGGCACUUGGGGAUGGAAAAGGUAGACAGAGAGAGGUUGAAGAUGGAAGUGAAUACCUCAGCCAGCUGGUCGGCACAGUCCCUCAACACUCUCCCAGGGAUCCUGUCGGGCCCGGCAGCCUUUCUGGUGUUUACGCCAAGAAGUGCCCUCCUGACCUCCCCUGUCCUCAAAGAGAAUGUCAGGGCAUCUGUGGGCAAGAGUGUUAAUGGUGUGGCCAAUGUUGACUCAGUCCUGGUCCCAUUUGCCUCAAAGCGCGCAAAGAAAUAGUUGAGCUCCUCAGGCAAAUUGCUGCUGGUACUUGGGCUUGGGUCUUUUGAACCCUUAAAGUUUGUGAGGUAUUGGAUUCCCUGCCAAACGCGCCGGGGAUCUCCCUCGUUAAAGUGCCCCUUGAUCUUCCUCCUGUAGGCCGCUUUUGCUUCCUUGAUGCCUGUCUUUUGGAUCUGGCGGUGCUGUAUAAUUCCAUGUCCCCGGACCUGAAGACUUGAUCACGUUUUUUCAGCAGCAGCUUGACGUCCCUGUUCAUCCAUGGUUUGUUGUUUUGAUAGCAUUUGACCUGUCUCUCAACAAUGACAUUAUCAAAGCAGGUCUUAAUGUAGUGCAAAAUAGUGCAGGUGUAAUCCUCAAGACUCUACUGUGAGAAAAGUGCCCAAUCAGUGCGCUCAAAAUAGUCUUGCAGUUUUGAAGUCCCAGUAGCAGGCCACAGUUUUGUUAAUUUCACCGUGUGCACAGAUCUCUUAAACACAGGUCUCUACGCUGGUGUGAGAAAGAGGGUCAAAUGGUCAGACUGCCCUAAAUGGGGGUGAACGGAGACCUUGUAUGCCCCUCUGAUGUUACUGUAAACAUGGUCCAGAGUUUUAUCACUUCUGGUUGGAUAUGUUACAUGCUGAUGAAAUUUGGGAAGGACAGUACGCAGAUUAGCGUGAUUAAAGUCCCCUGCCAUAAUAAAGAUCCCAUCCGGGUGGGUGGACUGGAGUUUAUUCACACUAGCAAGAUGUCCACAGCUACACCAGCAUUAGCACUGGGUGGAAUGUAAACAACUCUGGUGCUGUCUUGUUCUCUGGUUUGCAGUGAUUAAUACAAGAACUACAGCUACGUGAUCAAAACAGAUUUCGCACUGCCAUCCUAAAUUUUGUGAGCAUAGUCUUCGCUAGCAGACAGUCUUUAAAACAUCCAAUCUCAAACCAUUUUUAUCCAUACCAAACACACAUCAAACAUCAAAAUGAGCCUAUAUAUCACAACAUAAAUCGCUCUAUAAUCACUGUAUGUGAUCUCCUGAUCACUGAAGGAGGAACCACUGCUACUAUGAAGGAGGAACAUUCAGUCAGGCAGAUACUCUGGUAACAAAAUCCGCUUCUCAGCACCAAACAAACUAACUAAACCUUCCUGGACAAACAAACCAGUUUGCCUAAAUUGAACCAAACAGUAUUUGUACCCUAACCAUUAACCCUUGAAACAGAUAGUGUACUACAACAGGCUAGCACGACCCAGCAGCGGGUGGACUCGUGCCGGUAAGUUUCGCUGUUUGUGCCGCUUGAUGUUUAAUGCCCUGUCUAUGACUCUCCACUGCUAAAACCAUAUCAAUGCUGUGGGCUCCGGGUUGGAGCCCCCGUGUGUAAGUUUGUAUUGUGAGUUUGUUAACCCUGUGAAGAGGGAAACACUGCUUUUUCACGUCCAAUAGGAGUAAACUCCCCUGACAGGCCACUGUAGCGAGUUAGGAGAUUCAGCUGUUGCAGACAGACUGUGGGCCGAUCAAUUACAAUUUAUAAACAGAAGUUAUACAGCGGGAUAAUUGUGUGAUUUAAACUGCUUUUUGUGCAGGUUAGGCUUUACUAAAACGACAGAGAUGGACUCGAAUUGUAUAAAAACAUGCAUGGAGUCUGUGGUUACCAUGAAGACGACUUAAACGAUUUUAGAUAACUUACAUUGCUGAGCGACAGUACAGUGCAAAAAAUGGAGAAUUGGUCACUCAGAAAUACAAGUUAACUUUCCCUUAACUGCCGAAUUGGAAGAUGCUUCCCCCUUGUGUUUUACCAGGUUAUGUUUUGUCCAUUUUGUGGAGGGAACCUUUCUGUCAUAAUGUGUCUUGUGGCAGAAAUAUUCAGUUUUUAAAGAGUCAUCAAGAUGAAGAUCCUGAAACCCCAACGGUGGAUGAACUUAUCUUUAAGUAUUUCACAGAGGGCCACAGUUAUAAUAGACUUCCUUCCAACAAAACACAAUAUUUCACUGAGUCUUAGCACUUGAAAAAGAAGAAUACAAGAUGUCGGCCUGACCAGGAGGACGAACUACACUCCAAUCGCUACUGUGCGGGCAGCUAUUUUUGACGAACUGAAGGGAUCAGGCCAGCAAUGUGUCAGACUCUGAAACAGAAGUACUCUCUUAUUGUCUGAAGAGGUGAUGCACCUAAUGGGAGAAUUGGAUCCGUCUGGAGUAGAAAAUCACUCUAGACAAAGACUUGUCUGCAGAGCAUACCACUCAGUGGGACCCAAUGGAAUCUGAGUCCGACUGCGGCACACAAAAUGGACUGAUGGCAGCACUUCACUGUUCCUUGAGAUCAUUGCAUGUGGACAAAUUUGCAGGAGCCAAAAGCCACGUGUAUGGCACAUCAACAUCCAACCAACGCAUUGAAAGCUAGUGCUCCUACUUUCGGAAACAAAGGUUUUUGUCACACAUUGUUAAUUCUUGAGUUAUUAUGGAUUUAUGCUCCGUCUACUUGACAUUUCUGUAUUUAUUGUAUGUGAUUAUACUGAUCUAUACUCACUUUUACAUGGUACUUUAUCUGCUGUAAAUAUUUAGUGUCGGCAUGAGACUACUUGUGCUCACUAUAAAAUUGCUCACACAUAACACAGUUUCUUAAACCAUUUUAAAUUGCAGUACAGCUUUAAAAGCAACUUCAACCAUUUCAGAGUGUUUUCUUAGGGUCAAGGUACAACAUCAUAAAACGUGUGUACUUUAACUAGGAGUCAGUUUUGGAUGGAUUUGUUCAGUGACUUGAGGGAAAGGCACCUCUUCAAUGGUAGCAGAGAUCACACAAGUUUGGUGCAACACUGCUUCAUGGGUGUCCUUCAGAAUGAACUGGACGAAUACAAGCAACUCUGGAACACGCACACUAUUCGUCCUGUUCGCCAAUCCCAGUGCCCAUCUCGCAAACCAGAGUUUAUGUAUCACUGCCCUGAAAUGUGGCUGACCAGAUCUUCUGAGAGGAUGGCCAGGUCCACCAUGUACUAUGGACACAGCAAUCAUCUUCCCUGCCAAACUAUGUUCAUCCUCUCUGAUUGCUGCUCAUGGAAAUGCAGAGUAAUAGAGUGGUCAAUCAGUUUCAAUAUUAAACAAGCAAUGCAUGGUUGAAUAAUUUAGUUAUCUUAAAACAUUCCACACAAAAUAGUACCACUUGAAUUGUAGACAUGGAUCAAAUAUGGAUCGUUCGUUCAGGCUUCUCAUCAGAAGUGAGAGGAAUUUCCGUUUUGGUCCACCUGUAGCGAUACCUUCCUCAAACCUGCCUGCAUCAUCUGAAAACAUAGAUCCUUCAUUACGGAGAAUGUUCCGCUUUUGAAUCCUCUGACAGCUCCAUCCCACAUGUCAGACCGGCAGAUGUUAAAUCUGCUGAUGGCAUGGAGGUCAAUCUGGAGAGCCAGGUUUGCAAUUAUUUCUGAUGCAGAGAGCUUUUCCACCCUACCAACAGAUAACAGGGUGUCCGCGGGUUCUUAAAAAGUCUUAAAAGGUAAUAUCAAUAAUGUGAAAAUUAAGGCCAUUAAAAUGUAUUAAAAAGUCUUAAUCGCCAUUUAACAAGGUAUUACAUUUUGUAGAUAUUUUUGUCAAUGUGAACAUCCUGUUUGUCCAAAGAGUUUGUAAAGUGUGGAUUAAUGUAUUUAUUUAUAUUGCAUAGCCAAAAUUACUAAAUAGGCAGGUCAUAAGGACGUAGCGAGUGAUUCUUCUGUCUAACGUUAGGCACAGGGAUCUACUGUGCGAGCCUUUCACUCUCAUACAGCCCCUAAAAAUAGAUCCGUGCGAACCAGAAAACUGAUUUACGAGUACAACCGACUGUAAUCUUCCACCAGGCCGGACCCCCGAUGCUAAUCGUUAAAAACAUAGUCGGUCUGAGCUCUGUGGCCGCUUGAACAGCCCCGUUAAUCAAAAACAAGAGCGAGAUGCUCCGCCAGCAGCUGAAUGGGUAAGACAGAAGACAACAGUGAAAAUAUAAGCAGCGUUUGGGUUUGUCUAACGUUAGCUGGCUAUUUAGCUAAACCGGUGCUUUUUAAUGAAACACGUUCAACUUUUCAUAAAGCUGAUGCGCUCCUCAAUGUCACUUUUUGUGAACAGAUUAAUCAUGCUGACCUCAUUGUUCUGCAUAAAUGGUUAUGAUUAUUGACGAGUUAGUUGCCUACUUAAAAUUAAAGUUAGGGACUACCAUGUAGAACAUUUUCCUUGCACAAAGUGCAAGAAUGAAUAAAAAACAACCCCAAACUGAGACAGCUGUAACUGGAAUUAAUAUUAUGAGUGGUAAGCUAAAUACUGUUUAUUCAUUAUAUGAAAUAAUGAAUAUAGUAAUCAUCUCAUCAUAUAAUUAACAUAAUAUCAAACUAACAGUUUACUAUUAUAUUAUCAAUAGCCUUUACAUAUUUUUGCCUGAAAAUAGGUUAGAAUUAUGUCAGGUAGUUAUCGACUGGUUGGCGUUUGCUGGCAAGCUAACAUUAUCUAGGUUGAACCAACUAAAAUACAAAUCACACUGUGUUUCAUAUGUUUUACAGUAAUGUUGUGCAUAACGUCGUAGCCAAUGGAUUUUUGCAGGAAAUCCAACCAGUCCUUCACAUAGAGAACAGUAGGCCUAAACAGGCUGUUAUAAGCAACUCGAGAAAGUUGGUGAAUGCCUCAAUUUUUAGGGGAGGUUACAACCUGGUCACAUAUAGGCGUUCCACAGAUGUAUGCCUCUUACUGAAAACGAUGUCUGAGCAAAUAUACAGUUUCCACUUA